UUUGACCUCAAAUCAGGUAGGACUACCCGCUGAACUUAAGCAUAUCAAUAAGCGGAGGAAAAGAAACCAACAGGGAUUGCCUUAGUAGCGGCGAGUGAAGCGGCAAAAGCUCAAAUUUGAAAUCUGGCUCUUUCAGAGUCCGAGUUGUAAUUUGAAGAAGGUAUCUUUGGGUCUGGCUCUUGUCUAUGUUUCUUGGAACAGAACGUCACAGAGGGUGAGAAUCCCGUGCGAUGAGAUGAUCCAGGCCUAUGUCAA
Molecule: ribosomal RNA, 255 nt
Filed under: Candida tropicalis
Lineage: Eukaryota; Fungi; Ascomycota; Pichiomycetes; Serinales; Debaryomycetaceae
Description: partial 28S ribosomal RNA
Rfam family: Eukaryotic large subunit ribosomal RNA
Source: RNAcentral